This 392-nucleotide ribosomal RNA is filed under the name uncultured bacterium. Its description in RNAcentral is "bacterial SSU rRNA". It matches the Rfam family "Bacterial small subunit ribosomal RNA", at positions 524 to 916 of the family's 1533-position model. The record is from RNAcentral.
UACGUGAGGGGCAAACGUUGUUCGGUGUCACUGGGCUUAAAGGGCGCGUAGGUGGCUGGGCAAGUAAGGUGUGAAAGCCCUCGGCUUACCCGAGGAAGGGCGCCUUAGACUGCCCGGCUUGAGGACCAGAGAGGCCGGAGGAACUCUAGGUGUAGCGGUGAAAUGCGUAGAUAUCUGGGGGAAGGCCGGUGGCGAAGGCGUCCGGCUGGCUGGUUCCUGACACUGAGGCGCGAAAGCGUGGGGAGCAAACAGGAUUAGAUACCCUGGUAGUCCACGCCCUAAACGAUGGACACUAAGCGGGUAGCCACCAAAGGCCGCCUGCCGUAGCGCAAGCGUUAAGUGUCCCGCCUGGGGAGUAUGGCCGCAAGGCUGAAACUCAAAUGAAUUGACGG